RNAcentral lists this ribosomal RNA (274 nucleotides) under uncultured bacterium. Its description in RNAcentral is "partial 16S ribosomal RNA". It matches the Rfam family "Bacterial small subunit ribosomal RNA", at positions 523 to 796 of the family's 1533-position model. The record is from RNAcentral.
AUACGAAAGGUGCAAGCGUUGUUCGGAUUUACUGGGCGUAAAGAGAGUGUAGGUGGUUUAUUAAGUCGGAUGUGAAAUCCCGGGGCUCAACCUCGGAACUGCAUUCGAUACUGAUAGGCUAGAGUUUGGGAGGGGUAAGCGGAAUUCCGUGUGUAGCAGUGAAAUGCGUAGAUAUACGGAGGAACACCUGAGGCGAAGGCGGCUUACUGGACCAAUACUGACACUGAGACUCGAAAGCGUGGGUAGCAAACAGGAUUAGAAACCCGGGUAGUCC